AGCACCAUGUCCCAGUGCAAGGUCUGGGGCCAGGGAGGCCCAGCCUGCCCAUCAUGGCCUCAGGAGCCCCCAGGCUCUGCUGGUCCCGGAGCCAGAGCCCCUGACCUGGCCAGGGACCGUGGAAAGGGGUGGGGGUGCUCCAGGCCUGGAGGCCCUGACUCAACCCCCUGUCCCUCGCCCUGCAGAAGCGGAACAGGGCCAUCACGGCCCGCAGGCAGCACCUGAAGAGCGUGAUGCUGCAGAUAGCGGCCACAGAGCAGGAGAAGGAGAAGAGCCGACGUGAGGCGGAGAAGCAGAACUACCUGUCGGAGCACUGCCCGCCGCUGCAUAUCCCGGGCUCCAUGUCUGAAGUGCAGGUACCAGCCCCUCCCCGGCCACCUCGCCUCCCCAGCAGCAGGCCUGCCUGCUAACUCAGUUUCCCCACUUGUCAAGAGG
This 435-nucleotide small RNA is filed under the name Pan troglodytes (chimpanzee). RNAcentral's name for it is "retained intron". The record is from RNAcentral. Lineage: Eukaryota; Metazoa; Chordata; Mammalia; Primates; Hominidae.